Molecule: ribosomal RNA, 450 nt
Filed under: uncultured bacterium
Lineage: Bacteria
Description: partial 16S ribosomal RNA
Rfam family: Bacterial small subunit ribosomal RNA
Source: RNAcentral
GUGGGGAAUAUUGCACAAUGGGCGCAAGCCUGAUGCAGCCAUGCCGCGUGUAUGAAGAAGGCCUUCGGGUUGUAAAGUACUUUCAGCGGGGAGGAAGGCGAUAAGGUUAAUAACCUUGUCGAUUGACGUUACCCGCAGAAGAAGCACCGGCUAACUCCGUGCCAGCAGCCGCGGUAAUACGGAGGGUGCAAGCGUUAAUCGGAAUUACUGGGCGUAAAGCGCACGCAGGCGGUCUGUCAAGUCGGAUGUGAAAUCCCCGGGCUCAACCUGGGAACUGCAUUCGAAACUGGCAGGCUAGAGUCUUGUAGAGGGGGGUAGAAUUCCAGGUGUAGCGGUGAAAUGCGUAGAGAUCUGGAGGAAUACCGGUGGCGAAGGCGGCCCCCUGGACAAAGACUGACGCUCAGGUGCGAAAGCGUGGGGAGCAAACAGGAUUAGAAACCCGGGUAGUCC